This 1164-nucleotide ribosomal RNA is filed under the name Triticum aestivum (bread wheat). RNAcentral's name for it is "partial small subunit ribosomal RNA". The record is from RNAcentral. Lineage: Eukaryota; Viridiplantae; Streptophyta; Magnoliopsida; Poales; Poaceae.
AUGAAUAAAAAUGCUAGCCCUGGCCCGGACGGUUUUGGCCCUGGGUUCUACAGAAAAUUUUGGCAUAUUCUCAAAGAAAAAAUCCGCAAUUUCUUCGCUGAUUUCCAUGCCCUGCGUUCGGACCUAUCCUGCCUCAACCGCGCCCUCAUUAUUCUUCUCCCGAAGAAUAAUGACGCCAGGUCCCCAAAUGACUUUCGCCCCAUCUCCCUUCAAAAUUGCCCUAUCAAAGGUGUUGCUAAACUCCUUACCAACAGACUGAAAGCGCAUAUCCCUCUUCUGGUCCACGCCGACCAAACUGGCUUCCUGUCUGGUCGCAAUAUCUUCGAAAACUUCCUCUACGCCGCUGACAUUCUUCACUGCUGCGCCAAGAAAAAGGCUCCAGCCAUUGUCGUCAAGCUGGACUUUCGGAAAGCGUUCGACUCAAUCUGUUGGUCCUCCCUCCUCCACACCCUACAGGUUAGGGGCUUCCCACCUCGCUGGUGUGCCUGGAUCCGAUCUCUGCUUGCCUCUGGAUCCAUCGCUGUUAUGCUUAAUGGCAUCCCAGGUAAGUGGAUCCAAUGCAAGAACGGACUCCGGCAAGGUGACCCCCUAUCUCCUUAUCUGUUCAUUAUUAUGGCCGAUAUUCUACAGCAAAUGAUCAUUAACGCUCCUAAGGAUGGUAUGCUUUUACACCCCUUGUGUCCCCACCUCCCGUGCCCUGUUCCGCAAUAUGCGGACGACACUCUUAUCAUAGUUAAAGCCACCACAACUGCUGCCAAGCACCUCAAACACAUUCUAGACACCUUUGCCGCAGCCACUGGUCUUCAAAUCAACUUCACCAAAACGACUUUCAUCCCCCUUAACGUGGAUCCGCAGGAGGCCGCUCUUAUGGCCUCUGACCUUGGAACGACCAUCUCUUCCUUUCCUCAAAUCAACUUCACCAAAACGACUUUCAUCCCCCUUAACGUGGAAGGAGACGAAAACUCCCGUUUCUUCCAUGCCUCAGCCUCUGCCCGCCUUCACAAAAAUAAGAUCACGGUCCUGGAGGCCAACGGCUCCGAGUUCUUUUCCCAUGAUGCUAAAUCAAAAAUCCUCUCAGACUUCUAUACCUCCCUUCUCGGCACUGCCUUUCAACCCACUUGGUCCUUCUCCCUCCUAGAUUUAUAUCCGUCACCUAUUCCCUAA